RNAcentral lists this ribosomal RNA (497 nucleotides) under uncultured bacterium. Its description in RNAcentral is "partial 16S ribosomal RNA". It matches the Rfam family "Bacterial small subunit ribosomal RNA", at positions 28 to 507 of the family's 1533-position model. The record is from RNAcentral.
GAUGAACGCUGGCGGCGUGCCUAAUACAUGCAAGUCGAGCGAACAGACGAGGAGCUUGCUCCUCUGACGUUAGCGGCGGACGGGUGAGUAACACGUGGAUAACCUACCUAUAAGACUGGGAUAACUUCGGGAAACCGGUGCUAAUACCGGAUAAUAUCUUUAACCGCAUGGUUCAAUAUUGAAAGACGGUUUUGCUGUCACUUAUAGAUGUAUCCGCGCCGCAUUAGCUAGUUGGUAAGGUAACGGCUUACCAAGGCGACGAUGCGUAGCCGACCUGAGAGGGUGAUCGGCCACACUGGAACUGGGACACGGUCCAGACUCCUACGGGAGGCAGCAGUAGGGAAUCUUCCGCAAUGGGCGAAAGCCUGACGGAGCAACGCCGCGUGAGUGAUGAAGGUCUUCGGAUCGUAAAACUCUGUUAUUAGGGAAGAACAAAUGUGUAAGUAACUAUGCACGUCUUGACGGUACCUAAUCAGAAAGCCACGGCUAACUACGUG